Cydia pomonella (codling moth) is the source of this 690-nucleotide long non-coding RNA. RefSeq lists it as uncharacterized. NCBI's taxonomy places the organism in Eukaryota, Metazoa, Arthropoda, Insecta, Lepidoptera, Tortricidae. The record is from RefSeq and is a predicted model, not a curated record. The transcript is spliced from 3 exons.
UGCAACAGUCGCGUAGAGAACUCAAAGUCGCGGCGCGACUAGUCAGUGUUCCCCGAUGAAAUCAAAGUGAAAAAAUAAUUGUUAUUUACAUGUGACAACACUGAAUCGGAAACAGGGUUGCGCUAUUUCAUUCGUUCUUCGGUGGUAAAAAUCAAGUUUUUUGUCGAUGGUUAUGUUUUCCUGUCAAAGUCAAGGAAAUUUCAAAUUUUGUCAACAUUUUAUUACGAGAAUAUAUAUGGAAAAUAUAAUAAGUCCUGCAUUAUCCCAAACAUCCAAUGGAAGCUAUUGUUAACAGGAAGGUGAUAUCGAGAUCUCAAGUGGAUAGUCAGAAAACACUAGGCAAGAAGGUAUCAAAGGCGGGGCUGUCUCCGCGCUAAGCAAGGCUCCUAAGUCUGAGGAGAAAGAGGGUGAUCUGAUUGUACUACGCCGCAUGUCGAAGAAAAAGAAAAAUUGAAAAUAAUUUUAAGUUAAUGUAGAAGAUGCUUAAACUAUUUUUUAGUGUACUUCUAGAAGGUUUUAAUAUAAGUUGCAAUAAUAUAUACUCUGAAUUUAAAUAUUGUUUUUUUCCUAAAUUCCUGUAAUUUUUACCUGCAAUGAAACAAAUAUAAAGUAGGUACCUUGAAGCCGUCAUUAAGGUCUUCCCUAGGCCCACUUCAUAAUGCCCAACGUAUCAUACCAUGACCGUCUCAA